GAUGAACGCUAGCUACAGGCUUAACACAUGCAAGUCGAGGGGCAGCAUGGUCUUAGCUUGCUAAGGCUGAUGGCGACCGGCGCACGGGUGAGUAACACGUAUCCAACCUGCCGUCUACUCUUGGCCAGCCUUCUGAAAGGAAGAUUAAUCCAGGAUGGCAUCAUGAGUUCACAUGUCCGCAUGAUUAAAGGUAUUUUCCGGUAGACGAUGGGGAUGCGUUCCAUUAGAUAGUAGGCGGGGUAACGGCCCACCUAGUCAACGAUGGAUAGGGGUUUUGAGAGGAAGGUCCCCCACAUUGGAACUGAGACACGGUCCAAACUCCUACGGGAGGCAGCAGUGAGGAAUAUUGGUCAAUGGGCGAUGGCCUGAACCAGCCAAGUAGCGUGAAGGAUGACUGCCCUAUGGGUUGUAAACUUCUUUUAUAAAGGAAUAAAGUCGGGUAUGCAUACCCGUUUGCAU
Molecule: ribosomal RNA, 459 nt
Filed under: uncultured bacterium
Lineage: Bacteria
Description: bacterial SSU rRNA
Rfam family: Bacterial small subunit ribosomal RNA
Source: RNAcentral